Molecule: microRNA precursor, 76 nt
Organism: Homo sapiens (human)
Lineage: Eukaryota; Metazoa; Chordata; Mammalia; Primates; Hominidae
Product: microRNA 4650-2
Source: Ensembl
UUCUGUAGAGAUUAUCAGGCCUCUUUCUACCUUCCAAGGCUCAGAAGGUAGAAUGAGGCCUGACAUAUCUGCAGGA